Molecule: ribosomal RNA, 1405 nt
Filed under: uncultured bacterium
Lineage: Bacteria
Description: bacterial SSU rRNA
Rfam family: Bacterial small subunit ribosomal RNA
Source: RNAcentral
GGAUGAACGCUGGCGGCGUGCUUAACACAUGCAAGUCGAACGAACCUUCGGGUUAGUGGCGGACGGGUGAGUAACGCGUGAGAAUCUGCCCUCAGGAGGGGGAUAACGGCUGGAAACGGCCGCUAAUACCCCAUAUGCCGCGAGGUGAAAUGAAUUUCGCCUGAGGAUGAGCUCGCGUCUGAUUAGCUAGUUGGUGUAGGUAAUGGCUCACCAAGGCGUCGAUCAGUAGCUGGUCUGAGAGGAUGAUCAGCCACACUGGGACUGAGACACGGCCCAGACUCCUACGGGAGGCAGCAGUGGGGAAUUUUCCGCAAUGGGCGAAAGCCUGACGGAGCAACGCCGCGUGAGGGAUGAAGGCCUCUGGGCUGUAAACCUCUUUUCUCAAGGAAGAAGAUCUGACGGUACCUGAGGAAUAAGCCACGGCUAAUUCCGUGCCAGCAGCCGCGGUAAUACGAGAGUGGCAAGCGUUAUCCCGGAAUUAUUGGGCGUAAAGCGUCCGCAGGCGGCCCUUCAAGUCUGCUGUUAAACGUGGAGCUUAACUCCAUCAUGGCAGUGGAAACUGUUGGGCUUGAGUGUGGUAGGGCAGAGGGAAUUCCGUGUAGCGGUGAAAUGCGUAGAUAUCGGGAAGAACACCAGUGGCGAAGGCGCUCUGCUGGGCCAUAACUGACGCUCAUGGACGAAAGCCAGGGGAGCGAAAGGGAUUAGAUACCCCUGUAGUCCUGGCCGUAAACGAUGAACACUAGGUGUCGGGGGAAUCGACCCCCUCGGUGUCGUAGCCAACGCGUUAAGUGUUCCGCCUGGGGAGUACGCACGCAAGUGUGAAACUCAAAGGAAUUGACGGGGGCCCGCACAAGCGGUGGAGUAUGUGGUUUAAUUCGAUGCAACGCGAAGAACCUUACCAGGGUUUGACAUCCUGCGAAUCUCUUGGAAACGAGAGAGUGCCUUCGGGAACGCAGAGACAGGUGGUGCAUGGCUGUCGUCAGCUCGUGUCGUGAGAUGUUGGGUUAAGUCCCGCAACGAGCGCAACCCACGUCUUUAGUUGCCAGCAUUUAGUUGGGCACUCUAGAGAGACCGCCGGUGAUAAACCGGAGGAAGGUGUGGAUGACGUCAAGUCAUCAUGCCCCUUACAUCCUGGGCUACACACGUACUACAAUGCUACGGACAAAGGGCAGCAAGUUCGCGAGGACAAGCAAAUCCCAUAAACCGUGGCUCAGUUCAGAUCGUAGGCUGCAACUCGCCUACGUGAAGGAGGAAUCGCUAGUAAUCGCAGGUCAGCAUACUGCGGUGAAUACGUUCCCGGGCCUUGUACACACCGCCCGUCACACCAUGGAAGUUGGCCACGCCCGAAGCCGUUACUCCAACCCUUGUGGAGGAGGACGUCGAAGGUGGGGCUGAUGACUGGGGU